RNAcentral lists this ribosomal RNA (450 nucleotides) under uncultured bacterium. RNAcentral's name for it is "bacterial SSU rRNA". It matches the Rfam family "Bacterial small subunit ribosomal RNA", at positions 355 to 825 of the family's 1533-position model. The record is from RNAcentral.
UCAAGAAACUUCUACAAUGGGCGAAAGCCUGAUGGAGCGACGUCGCGUGAUGGACGAAGUGCUUCGGCACGUAAACAUCUUUUAUGUGGGAUGAAAUUAUUGACAGUACCACAUGAAUAAGGGGCUCCUAACUCUGUGCCAGCAGGAGCGGUAAUACAGAGGCCCCAAGCGUUAUCCGGAAUCACUGGGCGUAAAGGGUGUCGAGGCGGUUGUAUUAGUCGUUCGUAAAAUCUACGAGCUUAACUUGUAGGCGGCGAACGAAACGGUACGACUUGAGGUUUGGAGAGGUGCGUGGAACUCACGGUGUAGGGGUGAAAUCCGUUGAUAUCGUGGGGAACACCAAAGGCGAAGGCAGCGCACUGGCCAAAAUCUGACGCUCACACACGAAAGCGUGGGGAGCAAACAGGAUUAGAUACCCACGUAGUCCCUGAGCGGGCUGGCAAGGCGCAU